RNAcentral lists this non-coding RNA (45 nucleotides) under Schistosoma curassoni. Lineage: Eukaryota; Metazoa; Platyhelminthes; Trematoda; Strigeidida; Schistosomatidae. The record is from RNAcentral.
AUCCAGCUGAUGAGUUUCAAACAGGACGAAACGCUCACCCUGGAU